This is a non-coding RNA of Chiloscyllium plagiosum (whitespotted bambooshark), 1297 nucleotides long. The record is from RefSeq and is a predicted model, not a curated record. Lineage: Eukaryota; Metazoa; Chordata; Chondrichthyes; Orectolobiformes; Hemiscylliidae.
UUGAUUUCUGUCUUACUAACUGAUUUUGAUCUCAAUAGCCUAUUCAACCAAGGAUGGUUGUGCAAAGAGUCGUUCCUCUCUUUAGACAAUCACUUUGGAUUGAGGAUUAUUUUCUUCCACUCUGAAGUUAUGGAUCUUGAGCUAACUGAACGCUCUAAAACUGUGUUUGCAUACUCUGCCACAGGAAGCUGACAACUCACUCUCAACAGUCACUUGAGAGUUCCUGAGUUCUACACCCUCUGGGAAAUAUAAAUCAUCAACCAACAGCAAUGAAAAAUCCGUUUCUACACAGAGUUGGGCAUUCAUCAUCCUGUUUAGUUCCAGCCAUUCAACUAAAAGAUAGAACUUCAGCAGGAAAGGAAAUUCUUUGUUUUUGUUUAAUUUGAUGUGUAAUUGUGUGUACUUGAAUGAAGAGGACACAUUGUCAUCAGUCUCAGAAAAUCAACCUUAUUGCUGACAAAACUUCAUGUUCUUAUGAUGGGCAAUUUCCAUUAACCAGAAGAGUUGCCACUCCAAACAGAAACCAUAAAUUGAAAUCUUAAUGACCACUACAUCUCAUUUCUUCAAAAUAAAAGUGGGCUGUUGGUUGGCUUUCCUUUUAAUCUGACAACCAAAUAACCAUGCGCUGGGCUGAAAAUUUUCCCAAAAUUUGGCUGAGAGUCAAUUUUCAGGAGUUUCAUGGAGUGUUUCUCUCCAUAAUCUGCAGCACAUGUUCCCAUGUAAUUUUAUGCUGGUCUCCUCUUUAACAAUACUCCAUGCCUCCAGGGUGCCAGUCUCAUGCUCAUCAACGGAGAAAGUGGUUGAAGCUCAGGACGACCUAGGAUUCCUGCUGCCAGUGCCAUAUUUACAACACAGCUGUGCACCAGGUCAAAGGCUGGAAGCCAGGAAUUUCCCCCCUCAGCUCCAGUAGGGGAAGACUUCCCUCUGAGUGGCUGAUACAGGCAAGUUUGCACACCUGCUUUUCUGACAGGGACCUGGAGAUCCUGAUGACCAACAUAGUGGACAAAAGAGGCAUCUUUCCUCCGGAGUCCAGAUGUCACCUUAAAGGUCUGUCCAAAGUUGUCACUCAGGUCAAUGCAGAUAAGGUGAAGAACUCGUCACCUGGUUGAUACCUACCUCUGAAGUGAACUUGCUGAAUUCACAAAUUGAUGUCCAUUAUCAGAAACUAUUUCUUCUGGGAGAAUGAUGCUCUAAUCACACUCCACUGUCAUAUAAAGUCUUGAAAUUUCAAUCUAUCUUCAAUUGUAGGCUAUCAGGAUUAAAAAUGCCUUCGCUUUGAAGCCAAAUAAAUGUGAUG